RNAcentral lists this ribosomal RNA (1310 nucleotides) under Lecanactis abietina. RNAcentral's name for it is "LSU rRNA". It matches the Rfam family "Eukaryotic large subunit ribosomal RNA", at positions 78 to 1404 of the family's 3401-position model. The record is from RNAcentral. Lineage: Eukaryota; Fungi; Ascomycota; Arthoniomycetes; Arthoniales; Roccellaceae.
CCCCAGUAACGGCGAGUGAAGCGGCAACAGCUCAAAUUUGAAAUCUGACCUCCACGAGGGGUCCGAGUUGUAAUUUGCAGAGGAUGCUUCGGCGUCGGCCCCGGGCCAAGUCCCCUGGAACGGGGCGUCCUAGAGGGUGAGAACCCCGUACCCGCCCGGGUGCCCUUCGCCUCGUGAAGCUCCUUCGACGAGUCGAGUUGUUUGGGAAUGCAGCUCCAAGCGGGAGGUAAAUUUCUUCUAAAGCUAAAUACCGGCCAGAGACCGAUAGCGCACAAGUAGAGUGAUCGAAAGAUGAAAAGCACUUUGGAAAGAGAGUUAAAAAGCACGUGAAAUUGUUGAAAGGGAAGCUCUUGCCGCCAGACUUGCCACGGUCGCUCAGCCGCCCCCCGGGGCGGUGUACUCUUCCGUCGGCAGGCCAGCGUCGGUUCGGGCGGUCGGAUAAAGGCCCCGGGAAUGUAGCAUCCUCCGGGGUGUGUUAUAGCCCGGGGCGUAAUACGGCCAGCCCGGUCCGAGGGAUGCGUUCGCGAGGACGCUGGCGUAAUGGCUGCAAGCGACCCGUCUUGAAACACGGACCAAGGAGUCUAACAUCUGUGCGAGUGUUUGGGCGUCAAACCCAUGCGCGUAAUGAAAGUGAACGGAGGUGGGAACCCCCUCGAGGGGCGCACCAUCGACCGAUCCUGAUGUCUUCGGAUGGAUUUGAGUAAGAGCAUAGCUGUUGGGACCCGAAAGAUGGUGAACUAUUCCCGGAUAGGGUGAAGCCAGAGGAAACUCUGGUGGAGGCUCGCAGCGGUUCUGACGUGCAAAUCGAUCGUCAAAUCUAGGAAUAGGGGCGAAAGACUAAUCGAACCAUCUAGUAGCUGGUUCCUGCCGAAGUUUCCCUCAGGAUAGCAGUGACGUGAUUCAGUUUUAUGAGGUAAAGCGAAUGAUUAGAGGCCUUGGGGUUGAAACAACCUUAACCUAUUCUCAAACUUUAAAUAUGUAAGAAGCCCUUGUUGCUUAGUUGAACGUGGGCAGUCGAAUGUACCGUCACUAGUGGGCCAUUUUUGGUAAGCAGAACUGGCGAUGCGGGAUGAACCGAAAGCGAGAUUAAGGUGCCGGAAUGCACGCUUAUCGGAUACCACAAAAGGCGUUAAUUGAUCCAGACAGCCGGACCGUGGCCAUGGAAGUCGGAACCAGCUAAGGAGUGUGUAACAACUCACCGGCCGAAUCAAUUAGCCCUGAAAAUGGAUGGCGCUCAAGCGUGCUACCCAAAUCUCGCCGCCGGGGCAGGAUCGAUGCCCCGNCGAGUAGGCAGGCGCGGGGGUCGGUGA